Molecule: ribosomal RNA, 319 nt
Filed under: uncultured eukaryote
Lineage: Eukaryota
Description: partial 18S ribosomal RNA
Rfam family: Eukaryotic small subunit ribosomal RNA
Source: RNAcentral
CCCUUAGAUGUUCUGGGCCGCACGCGCGCUACAAUGGUCUUCGCAAACGGAUGCAUUCUCGAAGGAGAAUGCCAAUCUUGGAAUCUAUGCCUUGGUCGGGACAGUUGCUUGCAAUUUUUCGACUCGAACCAGGAAUUCCUUGUAAUCGUGAUUCAUCACAUCACGAUGAAUACGUCCCUGCCCUUUGUGCACACCGCCCGUCGCUCCUACCGAUCGAAGAGUUAGGUGAAUUGUUUUGAUCGAUAAGAUUUGACUAUGGUCAACUCUCGUUGUGAAAUUCUGUGAAUCUGACUGUUUAGAGGAAGGAAAAGUCGUAACA